CCUACGGGAGGCAGCAGUGGGGAAUAUUGCACAAUGGGGGAAACCCUGAUGCAGCGACGCCGCGUGAGCGAUGAAGUAUUUCGGUAUGUAAAGCUCUAUCAGCAGGGAAGAAAAUGACGGUACCUGACUAAGAAGCCCCGGCUAACUACGUGCCAGCAGCCGCGGUAAUACGUAGGGGGCAAGCGUUAUCCGGAUUUACUGGGUGUAAAGGGAGUGUAGACGGCUUGGCAAGCCAGAUGUGAAAGGCUGGUGCUCAACCCCAGGACUGCAUUUGGAACUGUCAUGCUAGAGGGUCGGAGAGGCAGGCGGAAUUCCUAGUGUAGCGGUGAAAGGCGUAGAUAUUAGGAGGAACACCAGUGGCGAAGGCGGCCUGCUGGACGAUGACUGACGUUGAGGCUCGAAAGCGUGGGGAGCAAACAGGAUUAGAUACCCGAGUAGUC
Molecule: ribosomal RNA, 440 nt
Filed under: uncultured bacterium
Lineage: Bacteria
Description: partial 16S ribosomal RNA
Rfam family: Bacterial small subunit ribosomal RNA
Source: RNAcentral